Molecule: ribosomal RNA, 253 nt
Filed under: uncultured bacterium
Lineage: Bacteria
Description: partial 16S ribosomal RNA
Rfam family: Bacterial small subunit ribosomal RNA
Source: RNAcentral
CACGUAGGGCGCAAGCGUUGUCCGGAAUUAUUGGGCGUAAAGAGCUCGUAGGCGGUCUGUUACGUCUGCUGUGAAAACCCUGGGCUUAACCCUGGGCUUGCAGUGGAUACGGGCAGACUAGAGGCAGGUAGGGGAGAAUGGAAUUCCCGGUGUAGCGGUGAAAUGCGCAGAUAUCGGGAGGAACACCGGUGGCGAAGGCGGGUUGCUGGGCCGACACUGACGCUGAUGCGCGAAAGCCAGGGGAGCGAACGGG